GGGGUUGUGGCUCAGUGAUAGAGCGCUCGCCUAGCACUUGUGAGACCCUGGGUUCGAUCCUCAGCAGCACAU
Molecule: non-coding RNA, 72 nt
Organism: Ictidomys tridecemlineatus (thirteen-lined ground squirrel)
Lineage: Eukaryota; Metazoa; Chordata; Mammalia; Rodentia; Sciuridae
Source: Rfam